RNAcentral lists this ribosomal RNA (708 nucleotides) under Triticum aestivum (bread wheat). RNAcentral's name for it is "partial small subunit ribosomal RNA". Lineage: Eukaryota; Viridiplantae; Streptophyta; Magnoliopsida; Poales; Poaceae. The record is from RNAcentral.
AUGGAGGGUUCGACCGGCAACUCGCCGGCGCCGCCGCCCGCCUUCCGGAACAGGUACUGGAUCCUCCGCCACGGCCGCAGCGUCCCCAACGAGCGCGGCCUCAUCGUCUCCUCCCUGGAGAACGGCACGAAGCCGGAGUUCGGGCUGGCCCCUCAGGGCGUCGAGCAGGCGCGCUCCGCCGGCGAGUCGCUCCGGAAGGAGCUUGAGGAGAUGGGUGUGCCGGUGGACUCUGUCAAGAUCUGUUACUCGCCGUUCUCGCGGACGACGGAGACGGCCAGGGUGGUCGCCGGCGUGCUGGGCGUCCCAUUUGAGGGUCCUAGCUGCAAGGCAACCGUGGAACUUCGUGAACGUUAUUUUGGACCAUCAUAUGAGUUGCUUUCACACGAGAAGUAUGCAGAGGUAUGGGCAAUAGAUGAAGCAGAUCCCUUUUUGGCCCCAGAAGGUGGGGAGAGCGUUGCAGAUGUUGCUAGUAGACUUGCAGGGGUGCUGUCUUCUGCAGACGUGGAGUUUCAUGGCUCUGCUGUUCUUAUUGUCAGCCAUGGGGAUCCAUUGCAGAUCUUUCAAGCAGUACUCAGCGGAGCCAAGGAAAACCCAUCUUUCCUCGACGAUGCAUCUGGCCUGAGAAAGGAAAGCCUGGUAAUUUCGUCCGUGUUGUCACAGCACCGUAAGUUCGCACUCAACACAGCAGAGCUGCGGCGAGUAGUGUGA